UCUAAGUAACUUGUAUAUUGCAUAAAUGUGAUUUCCAAGUUAAUAAGUUGUUUUUUAUUAAAGUGUUAAGUGUUUAACACAAAAUAAUACAAGUAUUGUUGUUUGCUUUACUUUAAUUAGGUGCUCUUGCUGGGGCAUGGGGGAAAAAAAGAGCUGGAAAAAACACCUGCUAAUGACAUCAGUAGCAUCUACACACUUGCUAAAAACAUCACUCUCCUCUUCACCUGCUAGUGACAUCAGCAUCAUCUACAAACCUGCUAAUAACAUCACUCUCCUCCUCACCUGCUAGUGACAUCAGCAGCAUCUACACACCUGCUAAUAACAUCACUCUCCUUCUCACCUGCUAGUGACACCAUGCUUCUCUUCACCUUCUAGUAGCUUGCCUGGUUUGUGAUAAUAAUUUUGCUAUCUUCUAGUAAGUUUAAGCUUUUGUUACCUUCUCAGCCAGGGUUUUAACCAACAUUAUACACAGAAUCUUUCACAUACUUCUUAGUGUGCUUUUUUUUUGCUGAAUUUAAUGCUUAGGUUUAAGUGGAAAAUUUAAGUCAUAAAAUUUGAAUAAAAAUCUAACUAUACUUAUGAUCUGCAAUAUCGUUUCAGAUUCUGAACACAUCAGAAAACACAAACUGACAUAUCUUUCCAGUUUGGGUUUUGCAUGGUCCCCAAUAAACUCAACGUGGGAUGCCUCUCCGAUUUCUUUCACACCAGGCCACAGAGAGGUUCUUCAUUUGGGUCCACCACUUUGCCAUCUGCACCAAGGUGUGGAGCAUCAGGGUGGAUGAUGAGACCAGAUGGAAGAACGUUAACGUCGAAGGUCUCCUCAUAGCGGUGAAAAACCUCUGGAUCAAGUUUCAAUCCUCUACACAUCGCUCUCUAGAGACCCAGACAGAUGUUUACACACACUUUUUAAUUCAAGAAAUAAAUGCAUUUAACCUGCAAUUACAAAUGCAUAAUGUUUUGAUGUUUUAAUCCCAAAAUGUUGAAUACUGAUAUUUGAAAUGAUAAAAAAAGUGCUUUAAGAUGUGAAAUUAAAAACACUGAUAUCUAGACAAUCAUGAAUUAUAACAUCACUUCUUUUAAUGUUUUUACUAUACAGGUGAUAUGGAAUUUGUUUAAAUUGUGUUAAAUUUUUGUG
Carassius auratus (goldfish) is the source of this 1135-nucleotide long non-coding RNA. RefSeq lists it as uncharacterized. NCBI's taxonomy places the organism in Eukaryota, Metazoa, Chordata, Actinopteri, Cypriniformes, Cyprinidae. The record is from RefSeq and is a predicted model, not a curated record. The transcript has 2 exons.